Molecule: ribosomal RNA, 415 nt
Filed under: uncultured bacterium
Lineage: Bacteria
Description: bacterial SSU rRNA
Rfam family: Bacterial small subunit ribosomal RNA
Source: RNAcentral
UGGGUUUGACAUUCUAGGAUUAGCCGCCUGAAAGGGUGGUGACGCUUCGCAAGAAGUGGAACUAGGACAGGUGUUGCAUGGCUGUCGUCAGCUCGUGCCGUGAGGUGUUGGGUUAAGUCCCCUAACGAGCGAAACCUUUGUCCUUAGUUGCCAGCGGGUAAUGCCGGGGACUCUAGGGAGACUGCAGACGUGAAGUCUGAGGAAGGUGGAGACGACGUCAAGUCAUCAUGGCCCUUACGCCCAGGGCUACACACGUGCUACAAUGGUCGGUACAAAGGGAAGCGAGUCUGCAAGGAGGAGCAAAUCCCAAAAAGCCGAUCUCAGUUCGGAUUGUGGGCUGCAAUUCGCCCACAUGAAGCUGGAAUCGCUAGUAAUCGUGGGUCAGCUAUACCACGGUGAAUGUGUUCCCGAGCCU